RNAcentral lists this ribosomal RNA (329 nucleotides) under uncultured eukaryote. Its description in RNAcentral is "partial 18S ribosomal RNA". It matches the Rfam family "Eukaryotic small subunit ribosomal RNA", at positions 1470 to 1796 of the family's 1831-position model. The record is from RNAcentral.
CCCUUAGAUGUUCUGGGCUGCACGCGCGCUACACUGAUGCACUCAACGAGUUUACGACCUUGCCCGAUAGGGUUGGGUAAUCUUUUUAAAAUGCAUCGUGAUGGGGAUAGAUUAUUGCAAUUAUUAAUCUUCAACGAGGAAUUCCUAGUAAGCGCGAGGCAUCAGCUCGCGUUGAUUACGUCCCUGCCCUUUGUACACACCGCCCGUCGCUACUACCGAUUGGGAAAAUUUUAGAGAGUCCUGGACUGAUGAUUGUUCGGCUUCACGGCCUUACUUUCGUCGGGAAAGAAUUCGAUAAUAUUUUUCUAGAGGAAGUAAAAGUCGUAACA